Molecule: ribosomal RNA, 844 nt
Filed under: Klebsiella pneumoniae
Lineage: Bacteria; Pseudomonadati; Pseudomonadota; Gammaproteobacteria; Enterobacterales; Enterobacteriaceae
Description: partial 23S ribosomal RNA
Rfam family: Bacterial large subunit ribosomal RNA
Source: RNAcentral
GGGACACGUGGUAUCCUGUCUGAAUAUGGGGGGACCAUCCUCCAAGGCUAAAUACUCCUGACUGACCGAUAGUGAACCAGUACCGUGAGGGAAAGGCGAAAAGAACCCCGGCGAGGGGAGUGAAAAAGAACCUGAAACCGUGUACGUACAAGCAGUGGGAGCACCUUCGGGUGUGACUGCGUACCUUUUGUAUAAUGGGUCAGCGACUUAUAUUCUGUAGCAAGGUUAACCGUAUAGGGGAGCCGCAGGGAAACCGAGUCUUAACUGGGCGUUAAGUUGCAGGGUAUAGACCCGAAACCCGGUGAUCUAGCCAUGGGCAGGUUGAAGGUUGGGUAACACUAACUGGAGGACCGAACCGACUAAUGUUGAAAAAUUAGCGGAUGACUUGUGGCUGGGGGUGAAAGGCCAAUCAAACCGGGAGAUAGCUGGUUCUCCCCGAAAGCUAUUUAGGUAGCGCCUCGUGAACUCAUCUUCGGGGGUAGAGCACUGUUUCGGCUAGGGGGUCAUCCCGACUUACCAACCCGAUGCAAACUACGAAUACCGAAGAAUGUUAUCACGGGAGACACACGGCGGGUGCUAACGUCCGUCGUGAAGAGGGAAACAACCCAGACCGCCAGCUAAGGUCCCAAAGUCAUGGUUAAGUGGGAAACGAUGUGGGAAGGCACAGACAGCCAGGAUGUUGGCUUAGAAGCAGCCAUCAUUUAAAGAAAGCGUAAUAGCUCACUGGUCGAGUCGGCCUGCGCGGAAGAUGUAACGGGGCUAAACCAUGCACCGAAGCUGCGGCAGCGACACUAUGUGUUGUUGGGUAGGGGAGCGUUCUGUAAGCCUGCGAAGGUGUGCUGUG